GCAUGGUUGUCGUCAGCUCGUGUCGUGAGAUGUUGGGUUAAGUCCCGCAACGAGCGCAACCCUUAAGCUUAGUUGCCAGCGUUAAGUUGGGCACUCUAAGUUGACUGCCGGUGACAAACCGGAGGAAGGUGGGGAUGACGUCAAAUCAUCAUGCCCCUUAUGAUUUGGGCUACACACGUGCUACAAUGGACAAUACAAAGGGCAGCUAAACCGCGAGGUCAUGCAAAUCCCAUAAAGUUGUUCUCAGUUCGGAUUGUAGUCUGCAACUCGACUACAUGAAGCUGGAAUCGCUAGUAAUCGUAGAUCAGCAUGCUACGGUGAAUACGUUCCCGGGUCUUGUACACACCGCCCGUCACACCACGAGAGUCUGUAACACCCGAAGCCGGUGGAGUAACCAUUUAUGGAGCUAGCCGUCGAAGGUGGGACAAAUGAUUGGGGUGAAGUCGUAACAAGGUAGCCGUAUCGGAAGGUGCGGCUGGAUCACCUC
This 487-nucleotide ribosomal RNA is filed under the name uncultured bacterium. Its description in RNAcentral is "bacterial SSU rRNA". It matches the Rfam family "Bacterial small subunit ribosomal RNA", at positions 1043 to 1529 of the family's 1533-position model. The record is from RNAcentral.